AUUCAGGUCAAAAAUUCGGGUUUAUGCGUUUUCGGUUAUAUUUAAGGUUUGGGGUUUAUUUCCCCCGGACCCCAUUCACGAAAAUUUACCCUAAAGUCAAUAAGAACAAGUCCCAAGCCUCAAGAACCAUACAAGGGUUUGCAACAUAAUUCUUUCCAAAGUAAAUCAAGCUAGGGUUUGGGUAUUCUUCAUUAGAAAAGUGAUUUGUUAAACCUUGUUUAACAAAUUAAGCUACUCGGGAGGAAGGGUAGCCACUAUGGAUCCUAGUGUGGUAAUUGCCUAGCCAUUCGGGAGGAAGAGUGGCCACUUCCGGGUCGCUACCGGGGUGUGAUUCAAGCCUAGCUAUUCGGGGGGAAGGAUAGCCACCGCUGGGUUCGCUACCUGGGGUGUGAUGUAUGCCUAGCUAUUCGGGAGGAAGGAUAGCCACCGCGUACUACAUAGUCCGGUGUGAUUUAUGCCUAGCCAUUCGGGAGGAUGAGUGAUCACCGAGGAUCUCAUAUUCCGGUGUGCUUACGCCUAGCCAUUCGGGAGGAUGAGUGGUCACCGAGGAUCUCAUAUUCCUAGUGUGUCAUUGCCUAGCCAUUCGGGAGGAAGAGUGGCCACCGCUGGGUUCGCUACCCGGGGUGUGAUUCAAGCCUAGCUAUUCGGGAGGAAGGAUAGCCACCGCUGGGUUCGCUACCUGGGGUGUGAUUUAUGCCUAGCUAUUCGGGAGGAAGGAUAGCCACCGUGUACUACAUAGUCCGGUGUGGUGCGCUAUGCGCGAUA
Long non-coding RNA from Lycium ferocissimum, 765 nucleotides. RefSeq lists it as uncharacterized. The transcript is spliced from 3 exons. The record is from RefSeq and is a predicted model, not a curated record. NCBI's taxonomy places the organism in Eukaryota, Viridiplantae, Streptophyta, Magnoliopsida, Solanales, Solanaceae.